Molecule: ribosomal RNA, 551 nt
Filed under: uncultured archaeon
Lineage: Archaea
Description: bacterial SSU rRNA
Rfam family: Archaeal small subunit ribosomal RNA
Source: RNAcentral
ACAAGGUUCCAGGCCCUACGGGGUGCAGCAGGCGCGAAACCUCCGCAAUGUGAGAAAUCGCGACGGGAGGAUCCCAAGUGCCAUUCUUAACGGGAUGGCUUUUCAUUAGUGUAAAGAGCUUUUGGAAUAAGAGCUGGGCAAGACCGGUGCCAGCCGCCGCGGUAACACCGGCAGCUCUAGUGGUAACAAUUUUUAUUGGGCCUAAAGUGUCCGUAGCCGGUUUAAUAAGUCUCUGGUGAAAUCCUGUAGCUUAACUGUGGGAAUUGCUGGAGAUACUAUUAGACUUGAGACCGGGAGAGGUUAGAGGUACUCCCAGGGUAGAGGUGAAAUUCUGUAAUCCUGGGAGGACCGCCUGUUGCGAAGGCGUCUAACUGGAACGGUUCUGACGGUGAGGGACGAAAGUUAGGGGCGCGAACCGGAUUAGAUACCCGGGUAGUCCUAACUGUAAACGAUGCGGACUUGGUGUUGGGGUGGCUUUGAGCUGCUCCAGUGCCGAAGGGAAGCUGUUAAGUCCGCCGCCUGGGAAGUACGGUCGCAAGACUGAAACUUAA